Molecule: ribosomal RNA, 100 nt
Filed under: uncultured bacterium
Lineage: Bacteria
Description: partial 16S ribosomal RNA
Rfam family: Bacterial small subunit ribosomal RNA
Source: RNAcentral
CGCCGCGUGAAGGAUGAAGUCUUUCGGGACGUAAACUUCUUUUUAUCGAGGAAGAAGAAUGUGACGGUACUCGAUGAAUAAGCCCCGGCUAACUACGUGC